Molecule: long non-coding RNA, 601 nt
Organism: Brachypodium distachyon (stiff brome)
Lineage: Eukaryota; Viridiplantae; Streptophyta; Magnoliopsida; Poales; Poaceae
Exons: 2
Source: RefSeq, a predicted model, not a curated record
GCCCUCUCAGCUAUAUGCACCACUGUUUGGAUCGAUGAUAGAUUCUUCUCUAGGAUUCUUAGUUUCUCCUUUGUGUCUUUCCGUUGGUAUUCAUACCGAUCUUCUGCAUAGGAGCACGCCUUCUCGACCAGCUUGGUGAUUAAGGCUGAGGCCACCCAUCCUCCUAUUGCUGAAGCAGCCAUUACAGCUCAGAUGCAGAAAUUGCAGUAUGGACACCUUAAAAGUGAAGGAACAAAUAUUGUCAAAUGCUGGUUUCAAGUUGCCACAUAAAGGGAGAUGAAUCGGCUGAUUGGGAGAAAGUUGAAAUAUGGAUGCAGUCAAGAAGGUAUCUUGAUUAUAAAACUAACGAUGUCAUCUGAAACUUCCCCGAGCUGCAUCAUCUUGCUUUGUUUUCGCCAUAUUCUAGCAAAGUUCUGUGAAUGGAACAAUUACGAAGGGAUCAUUGUUCUUGUUUUCAUGUGACUCAGCUAUGCGUUAAUUUAUGCGGCGUCUGUCGUGUGCUUGUGUAUCAAAUGAUUAAAUCUUGGAGGGCUGUAACAUCAAUAACACUUAUUUUUGUACUGGUUCCAAGAACUAGCUCAUCAGCAGCUAUACUUUAUGA